RNAcentral lists this ribosomal RNA (487 nucleotides) under uncultured bacterium. Its description in RNAcentral is "partial 16S ribosomal RNA". It matches the Rfam family "Bacterial small subunit ribosomal RNA", at positions 28 to 507 of the family's 1533-position model. The record is from RNAcentral.
GAUGAACGCUAGCGAUAGGCUUAACACAUGCAAGUCGAGGGGCAGCACAAGGUAGCUUGCUAUCUGGGUGGCGACCGGCGCACGGGUGCGUAACGCGUAUGCAACUUGCUCUAUAAAGGAGGAUAACCCGUCGAAAGACGGACUAAUACUGCGUAUGCUCACAACUUGGCAUCAAGUGGUGAGGAAAGAAAUUCGGCAUAGGAUAGGCAUGCGUUCCAUUAGCUUGUUGGUGAGGUAACGGCUCACCAAGGCAACGAUGGGUAGGGGAACUGAGAGGUUGAUCCCCCACACUGGUACUGCGACACGGACCAGACUCCUACGGGAGGCAGCAGUGAGGAAUAUUGGUCAAUGGGCGCUAGCCUGAACCAGCCAAGUCGCGUGAAGGAUGUCUGUCUUAUGGAUUGUAAACUUCUUUUAUACGGGAAUAACAAGAGUCACGUGUGACUCCCUGCAGGUACCGUAUGAAUAAGCAUCGGCUAACUCCGUG